RNAcentral lists this ribosomal RNA (1756 nucleotides) under uncultured alveolate. RNAcentral describes it as "SSU rRNA". It matches the Rfam family "Eukaryotic small subunit ribosomal RNA". The record is from RNAcentral.
CCAGCAGUCAUAUGCUUGUCUCAAAGAUUAAGCCAUGCAUGUCCCAGUAUGAGUUUCCACAAGGUGAAACUGCGAAUGGCUCAUUAAACCAGUUGUAGUCUAUGUGAGGGUCUUUACAUGGAUAGCUGUGGUAAUUCUAGAACUAAUACAUGUGCCAAUGCCCAACUUUGCAGACAGGCUUUAUUUAUUGGUUCCGGAACCUGCCCAGGCUAGACCUGGUUGCAUGGUGAUACAUAGUAACUGAAUGAAUUGUGUGGCUUUAGCCGGCGAUGAAUCAUUCAAGUUUCUGACCUAUCAGCUUCCGAUGGUAGGGUAUUGGCCUACCCUGGCAAUGACGGGUAACGGAGAAUUAGGGUUUGACUCCGGAGAGGGAGCCCGAGAAAUGGCUACCACAUCUAAGGAAGGCAGCAGGCGCGCAAAUUACCCAAUCCUGACGCAAAGAGGUAGUGACAAGAAAUAACAAUACAGGGCAUCCACGUCUUGUAAUUGGAAUGAUUAGAAUUUACACCUCUUUUUGAGCAUCGAUUGGAGGGCAAGUCUGGUGCCAGCAGCCGCGGUAAUUCCAGCUUCAAUAGUGUAUAUUAAAGUUGUUGCGGUUAAAAAGCUCGUAGUUGGAAUUCUGCCAAGGCUGACAGGUCCAUCCAUUGGGUGAGCACCUGGCUUGGCUGAGGCAUCUUCUUGGAGAGCGCGGCUGCGCUUUACUGUGCGGCACGCUGUCCAGGGCCUUUACUUUGAGGAAAUUAGAGUGUUUCAAGCAGGUUCAUGCCUUGAAUAUAUUAGCAUGGAAUAAUAAGACAGGGCUGUGGUUGUAUUUUGUUGGUUUCUAGGACUGUGGCAACGAUGAAUCGGAACACUUGGGGGCAUACGAAUUCAACCGUCAGAGGUGAAAUUCUUGGAUUUGUUGAAGACGUCCUAUUGUGAAAGCAUUUGUCAUGAAUGUUUUCAUUGAUCAAGAAUGAAAGUUAGGGGAUCGAAGAUGAUCAGAUACCGUCUUAGUCUUAACCAUAAACUAUGCCAACUAGGGAUUGGAGGUUGUUAUUAAAACGACUUCUUCAGCACCUUGAGAGAAAUCAAAGUCUUUGGGUUCUGGGGGGAGUAUGGUUGCAAGGCUGAAACUUAAAGGAAUUGACGGAAGGGCACCACCAGAAGUGGAGCCAGCGGCUUAAUUUGACUCAACACGGGGAAACUUACCAGGCCCAGACAUAGCAAGGAUUGACAGAUUGAUAGCUCCUUCUUGAUUCUAUGGGUGGUGGUGCAUGGCCGUUCUUAGUUGGUGGAGUGAUUUGUCUGGUUAAUUCCGUGAACGAACGAGACCUUGACCUGCUAAAUAGUCUUGCGCAGCUCCGGCUGUGUGGAGGACUUCUUAGAGGAACUUUGCGUGCCUAAUGCAAGGAAGUCUGAGGCAAUAACAGGUCUGUGAUGCCCUUAGAUGUUCUGGGCUGCACGCGCGCUACACUGAUGUGUUCAACAAGUGUAUAGCUUUGCCUGACAUGGUAGGGCAAUCUUUCUAAAGUGCGUCACGAUGGGGAUAGACUAUUGCAACUAUUAGUCUUCAACGAGGAAUUUCUAGUAGGUGUGAGUCAUCAGCUUGUGCUGAUUACGUCCCUGCCCUUUGUACACACCGCCCGUCGCUCCUACUGAUUGAGUGAUCCGGUAAAUAAUUCGGACUGCGGCUCUGUUCAGUUCCUGUCUAGUGCUGCACAAAGUUUAAUGAACCUUAUCACUUAGAGGAAGGAGAAGUCGUAACAAGGUUUCC